This is a non-coding RNA of Biomphalaria pfeifferi, 555 nucleotides long. The record is from the annotation of a GenBank genome assembly. Lineage: Eukaryota; Metazoa; Mollusca; Gastropoda; Planorbidae.
GACAGGUCAGAUUCUCUAAUUAAAUAAAUUUGUAUACUUCAAGAAAGACAAGUCAGAUUCUCUAAUUAAAUAAAUUUGUAUACUUCAAGAAAGACAAGUCAGAUUCUCUAAUGAACUAGUUGGCUAGAAACUUUUUUUUUCUUUGCUUAUAAAAUUAACAUUUUAAACUUUUUUGACUAGCUCUACUUUAGUAGUUAUUUUUACACUCACAGGGGAUUAUUGUUUAAAAAGAAAACUGCAAAGUUUAUUCUUUGUUUUUAUAUUUUAUUUAAAACCAAAAAAAAUAAAAAAUAGAUAAUUCAAAAAAUGCUGGUUAUGUUGAAUGUUUUAAACUUUUAUUGUAUACAUUAAUAAAAUCUCAUCAAAAUGUGUACAUUCUUUUUCCUUAUGUCAUCCAGAUCUCAGAUAUCUUAGAAGCUUGAUGCAAUUCAACACUAUGUACUGUUUUCAUAUUCAUUACAGACGGUCACUCAAAAGAGAGAUAAUUACUUCCUACGCACAUCCAUGUUUUUAAUAUUCAUAGCUUGUGCAUUAAGAUUUAAAAAAAAAUAAAGU